RNAcentral lists this unclassified non-coding RNA (241 nucleotides) under uncultured fungus. Its description in RNAcentral is "sequence contains ITS2". The stretch from base 1 to 52 matches the Rfam family "5.8S ribosomal RNA", at positions 103 to 154 of the family's 154-position model. The record is from RNAcentral. Lineage: Eukaryota; Fungi.
AACGCACAUUGCGCCCCUUGGUAUUCCGAGGGGCAUGCCUGUUCGAGCGUCAUUUCAACCCUCAAGCACUGCUUGGUCUUGGGCUCCGCCGCUAACCCGGCGGGCCUUAAAACGAGUGGCGGCGCCAUCAGGCUCUGAGCGUAGUAGAUUUCCUCGCUACGGAGUCCUGGUGACGGUGGCCAUCAACCCCCAACUUUCUCAGUUUGACCUCGGAUCAGGUAGGGAUACCCGCUGAACUUAA